This 382-nucleotide ribosomal RNA is filed under the name uncultured bacterium. Its description in RNAcentral is "bacterial SSU rRNA". It matches the Rfam family "Bacterial small subunit ribosomal RNA", at positions 30 to 419 of the family's 1533-position model. The record is from RNAcentral.
AUUGAACGCUGGCGGCAGGCUUAACACAUGCAAGUCGAGCGGAGACUUCGGUCUUAGCGGCGAACGGGUGAGUAAUACCUAGGAAUCUGCCUAUUAGUGGGGGAGUAACGGCUCGAAAGGGUCGGCUAAUACCGCAUACGUCCUACGGGAGAAAGUGGGGGAGUCUUCGGACCUCUUGCUAAUAGAUGAGCCUAGGCCGGAUUAGCUAGUUGGUAGGGUAAAGGCCUACCAAGGCGACGAUCCGUAGCUGGUCUGAGAGGAUGGCCAGCCACACUGGAACUGAGACACGGUCCAGACUCCUACGGGAGGCAGCAGUGGGGGAAUAUUGGACAAUGGGGGCGAACCCUGAUCCAGCCAUGCCGCGUGUGUGAAGAAGGACCUC